Molecule: RNase P RNA, 315 nt
Filed under: uncultured Helicobacter sp.
Lineage: Bacteria; Pseudomonadati; Campylobacterota; Epsilonproteobacteria; Campylobacterales; Helicobacteraceae
Description: Bacterial RNase P class A
Rfam family: Bacterial RNase P class A
About the family: Ribonuclease P (RNase P) is a ubiquitous endoribonuclease, found in archaea, bacteria and eukarya as well as chloroplasts and mitochondria. Its best characterised activity is the generation of mature 5'-ends of tRNAs by cleaving the 5'-leader elements of precursor-tRNAs. Cellular RNase Ps are ribonucleoproteins.
Source: RNAcentral
GCAGGUGGUUGCUUUUAGAUUCUAAAAGAGGAAAGUCCGAGCUACGCUAAGACAGGAUUCCAUUUAACGAAUGGCUGAUGUAAAUCAAGGGAAAGUGCAACAGAAAACAACCGCCCUCAUAAUGUGUUGUGUGGGUAAGGGUGAAAAGGUGGGGUAAGAGCCUACCGACAUUGUAGCAAUACAUUGUGCCGUGUAAACCCAAUCCGUAGCAAGAAGAGCAGGUUAGAAGUCUUAGGUUUUUUAGCUCUUCGCACGAGUAUAGCAGUGAUGUUAUGCCUAGAUAAAUAGCCACCCAAGACAGAACUCGGCUUAUGC